Molecule: ribosomal RNA, 267 nt
Filed under: uncultured prokaryote
Description: partial 16S ribosomal RNA
Rfam family: Bacterial small subunit ribosomal RNA
Source: RNAcentral
UACGUAGGGGCAAGCGUUAUCCGGAUUUACUGGGUGUAAAGGGAGCGCAGACGGAACUGCAAGUCUGAUGUGAAAGCCCGGGGCUCAACCGCGGGACUGCAUCGGAUACUGUGGAUCUGGAGUGCCGGAGGGGCAAGCGGAAUUCCUGGUGUAGCGGUGAAAUGCGUAGAUAUCAGGAGGAACACCGGCGGCGAGGGCGGCUUGCUGGACGGCAACUGACGUUGAGGCUCGAAAGCGUGGGGAGCAAACAGGAUUAGAUACCCCGUA